CUGACACCCAGUAAUACCUAGCUAAUUCCUGAGCAGCAACCACCUCCUUCAGCUAACAUUCCACAGCUUUAUGGCCUUCCACAUGAUGUCACAAAGUAUGGAUAUCCCCAAGGCCAAUCCAAGUUAGCUGUCCUGGCUCCACCCCCACCCAGCUCCCCAUGCCCUCUCAAUAGUCCCCCCACACAAGAAACCAAAAGAGUCUUUGCACUGCUGGGUAGGAACAGUCAUCCUGAGAAUUAUCUGUUACUUAUUUCAUCUCUUUUGUUUCAGAAUCAGCUGCGGAUUAUUUUUUUUCCUCAAGCAAAUUUUUAAGAAUUGUGUUGAUUAGCUUGUUUAUUAUGUGACUCAGUAUUGUUUCUGCUCUGAAUUUUAGGAGUUUUCUUUGAUCCCUGGAAGAGGGCUAAGCUAAGCCCUGUAGUGCAGUUCAGAUGUUGUCUUGCCUUUUUGUACACCACUUGUUCCACGAAAAGAAGGCAAAGACUAAAAAGGAGCAGUGCUCUGAGAAAUAUUUGCCUUCUGCUGAACGUAGAAAGAGAAGGAGAGUUCCACAACUAUUGCUUCAUCACCAUACUUUUCAGCAAAUAAAUAUUGUUCAUCAAUAAAACCUCAGGCCGUGAGUCAAUAAUGGUUGAAUAUUAGGUAAGACUACAAUGAAUGCCUUGAUUAAUUUAUAGCUUGAUUGUAAAGACAAUAGAAAACUCAGAAGGCUAAACAAAAUAUUUAUAAGCAUUCUGAUUAGAGCUAAGUCAUUCACUGGAAGUUAGGCAGUUGCUUACCCCAUUAGGA
Molecule: long non-coding RNA, 786 nt
Organism: Numida meleagris (helmeted guineafowl)
Lineage: Eukaryota; Metazoa; Chordata; Aves; Galliformes; Numididae
Source: Ensembl